Molecule: ribosomal RNA, 459 nt
Filed under: uncultured bacterium
Lineage: Bacteria
Description: partial 16S ribosomal RNA
Rfam family: Bacterial small subunit ribosomal RNA
Source: RNAcentral
CCUACGGGUGGCAGCAGUGAGGAAUAUUGGUCAAUGGACGAGAGUCUGAACCAGCCAAGUAGCGUGAAGGAUGACUGCCCUAUGGGUUGUAACCUUCUUUUAUAAAGGAAUAAAACGAGGCACGUGUGCCUUUUUGCAUGUACUUUAUGAAUAAGGAGCGGCUCACUCCGUGCCAACAGCCGCGGUAAUACGGGGGAUGCGAGCGUUAUCGGGAUUUAUUGGGGUUAUAGGGUGCGCAGGCGGGAUGUCAAGUCAGAGGUAAAAUUUCGGGGCUCAACCCCGUCGUGCCGUGGAAACUGGCGUUCUUGAGUGAGCGAGAAGUAUGCGGAAUGCGUGGUGUAGCGGUGAAAUGCAUAGAUAUCACGCAGAACUCCGAUCGCGAAGGCAGCAGACCGGCGCUCAACUGACGCUGAUGCACGAAAGCGUGGGUAUCGAACAGGAUUAGAUACCCUUGUAGUC